UAAGUGAAGAGUUUGAUCCUGGCUCAGAGUGAACGCUGGCGGUAGGCCUAACACAUGCAAGUCGAACGGCAG
This 72-nucleotide ribosomal RNA is filed under the name Stenotrophomonas maltophilia. RNAcentral's name for it is "partial 16S ribosomal RNA". It matches the Rfam family "Bacterial small subunit ribosomal RNA", at positions 1 to 72 of the family's 1533-position model. RNAcentral also lists the same sequence under 2 other names. Lineage: Bacteria; Pseudomonadati; Pseudomonadota; Gammaproteobacteria; Lysobacterales; Lysobacteraceae. The record is from RNAcentral.